This 199-nucleotide ribosomal RNA is filed under the name Campylobacter coli. RNAcentral's name for it is "partial 23S ribosomal RNA". It matches the Rfam family "Bacterial large subunit ribosomal RNA", at positions 2714 to 2925 of the family's 2925-position model. Lineage: Bacteria; Pseudomonadati; Campylobacterota; Epsilonproteobacteria; Campylobacterales; Campylobacteraceae. The record is from RNAcentral.
GUAGCUGUUGUUCUGCCAAGAGCAUCGCAGCGUAGCUAAGUUUGGAAAGGAUAAACGCUGAAAGCAUCUAAGCGUGAAGCCAACUCUAAGAUGAAUCUUCUCUAAGCUCUCUAGAAGACUACUAGUUUGAUAGGCUGGGUGUGUAAUGGAUGAAAGUCCUUUAGCUGACCAGUACUAAUAGAGCGUUUGGCUUAUCUUU